ACACAUUCCUUUCUUUUUUGUUUAGGGUUACUAGAUCCCGAAUGUCAUUGAACACUACUGCAAACAAUCCUUGUGCUUUCUUUUCGACAGACAAUUCAGGCAGAGUGGAGGAGCUUCAGUAUAAAGUCUGGUGGAACAUUGAAUAGAGAAGCAUGAAUCUCAUCUUUGGGACAUUAGCGCUCCUGAGUUUUCGAUUUCUCGGCGUUUUUGGUGACUGUCUUGGGGAACGUUCAGGUAUCAACAAAGAAUGCCGAAGUCAUUUUUAGUGCCAACAAUACAGUUGACCCAGUAACGUUAUCUCUAAAGAAUGUUACUUUCCUCCUCCUUGAGGCUUCCGGUCCUUUUUCGGUGUGCUCUCGGGGUUCCCAAGAACAUUGGAAUGGUCACAACAAGAAUUCUGGCAGUAACGAUGAGGAGGAAACUCACAAUAGGACCCCAGUUAUUGCUGAAGCGGUUGUUCGUAAAGUUACGAGGAGACGAAAUAUAACCCGACUAGUUAGGAAACUAAGUCCAAGAAAAGCUAAUGCCAAUUGUAGUACCGCUGGGACAACAGUGCUCGGGAUUCUUUUGGCCAAGUCACUAAUUAUUAAUAUUAUUUUGGUGGUAAAAUAUGGCCCUUAUAAGAUCUGUUGAAGACGCAGCAAUGAAGGACCCACAACCAACCGCGCUCAUCGUACCCAGGAACUCUGACAUUUUCUCGGAGCAAAUUCUCCUCGGCUAGUAUGGUGCGGUUUACUACGACAGGAAGUAAUGGAAUACCUUUAAGACAUCGGUAAUAUUUUGGUUAGAAGAUUUCCCACUGUAGUAGCAACUAACUGCAUGUUAUCUUUGUGAAAAUAAUGUUACGGGCUUUGUAGUAACUGCAUGCUAUCUUCUUCAGGUGUUAAUGGCAUGACCAUAUGGGUAAAAUUAACCAUGUAAAAAUUAAUUAUUGUUAUAUACUAUUGCUAGAUUGUGCAGUCGUAACUGCGAAUACAACAACAUAUUCAGACAAACAUUAGUUGUAAAUGAAGUGUUUUAACAAUUAAUUAUAUACACAAAGUUUCUUGAAGAUUUAGAGUAAUUUGAUAUUUGAAUCAUACUUAGGAGAGGAAGGAAGUUUUUUUUUUCUAUUGAAAUACAUGAUUUUAAUAACUGUGCAAUUUUUUGUACAACAUACCACUGUUCACGCAGACUAACUUUUGAGUUAACAAACCAGCACUUAUAGCAAGGUGUUUUUAACACUGAUAGAGUGCAUGUGUAUAUUAGGUUUGAAAAAAUAAUGAUUUCACAUUUUGAUAGAAAUAAUUAUCGUGAAUACAUGCUUCCGGGAUAAUAGUAAGUUGAUGACAAUUGUUCAUUUCUAAUUACUCUGCGAAUUUGCAGGCAUGAAAUCGGAUUAGUGUGCAGAUGGCGAGUUAAACAAUAUGGCUCAGUCCUUCCAUUCAGUGAUUUAUGCACCUUAAAUUUGUAUAUAUUCUUUGAAACGUUACCCUAGAAUAAGUCCCAUCCAAGUAGAUGCAUCUGAAAAAUGAGAGGAUUAAUAAGUUAAUGUUGUUGAUGGCUUAUUGCUCUGUCAAAGUAAAUCAUGAGUUACCAUUGAAUGAAUGAAACGAGCGAAGGGAAGUUUGACAUUGCAUGAUAGAAAAUGAAAAAAGUUAGCAAAAUUCUUGAUGUGCGCCGUACGUUGGUUUAUAUUUACUCAAGUGUCUUAGGUGAAAUCUUAGCCCAUGAAAAGAGACCGUUUUCUUCCAAUUAUCACUGCCGAAUGAGGUCAUGGAUGAUAAGUAAGUGAACAGGAAGUCUGUGGCCUCUUUUAUGUUUUACUUUUAUUUAUUCCUUUUACUUUUUAUAAAUUUUCUUGGCUCUUGCAAUCGCUCUGAUUAACAUACACUGCAUAUUUAACGUAGUGGAUGUUAUUAACACGUACUUAAUAGCGCUUUACAAAUGAGAUGACAUUCUCAAAUUAUGACAAUCUCUUUUGUAGAUGUUUCUGUAUACAAAUAUAAAUGCAGUCCAGUAACAGUAAAACACGUGUAUUUGCAAUUGCAGUUAACUAUUCUCUAAGGUAUUCCUAAUUCAUAUAUAUCUGAGCACUGAGGUACUACUCGUAGAUUCUAAGCUUUAUUUUUUCUGAGCACUUAAUUUAUUGUUAUUGUGUACUUUAUUCAGAUCACUCAGUGAAAAUACUUAACUCGCAAAGACCUGGCCGAAAGAGUUGGUUGUAAUACUACCAGGAAAAUGGUCAAUGCUCGUAAGACUUCGUGUACCUGCAAAGUUACUGGUAUUAACGUCACAUGCUCGAGAUAUUUUGUUCUGCUCGAAUGUUGUUCCCUUGUAUGGAGCCAAGCAGUCUCACUUGGAUCUUCACUUUCAGGCAAAAUCGCCGGAAGUGGUUGCUUCCUUUUCCCCGAAAAUGAUAGAAGGUACCUUUGGGAGAUUUCAUUUAUUUUUUAUUUAAAAUAAGAGAUCGCUUUUCCGUUCAAACUUCUUUGGAUUGAAUUUCUCAGCAUAUCAGCAGAGUCGCAAAUACUGAUCAUGACCAUCAUUAUUAUCAAACAGCUUAUUUAAUAAAGAAAUAGUUCGAACAAAUCCUUCGGGAUUGCUUCAGAAUGAAAUGAACUGAAGCUGUCUUGGGAAAGUUUUCUUAGAAACACCUUUCGAAACUAUCCAUAAAGGCUUAUUUUUAUGUCAUGAAUGAAAUAGACUAAGUGGAUGCUUUCACUAUCCUAGUAUUAUCACUAAGGAAAUCUGCUUAGCGAUAACCUUCCGGUUUUCUUAGUAUUGCACACGAGGGAAAUUUGGGAGCAGUCGUCCAGUUUCAGAUCUCUGUCUUUGAUUGCUGCAGAUAGAUACUGUUUCUGGUGCAAAACAAGAUAACCUCUGAUUGUUCUUUAGUCACUUGGGCUGAAUGUUUCAAAAUGUAAUCGAAGUGGAGGAAAUGUUUUGUUCAUUUUUACCAUCUGAUACAGCAACUCGCUUGCAAAAUGCGUGAUGGUAGCAGUAAUCAGAAGAUAACGAGAGAGUUGAAAAGAUAGAUCAUUCGUAGUCGUUUAGUUUGACAGAUAGAAACAGUCUACGAUGAAAUGACCAGCUGUGUGCUGAAAUCGUCCGCCACGAGUUAGCUCUGGUAGAAAUCGCAAAGGUAUGAAAAAUCAUCGCUUAUCAAAAAAGGGGUUAACUUUGAAGGCCGAAGAAAGGAAAAACUUGGAAUGAAUUUGAGAGGCAUAUUCGAAGUCUCCUAAUGGGUGAACUGCUGCGGGGCAGUCUGAGGAACCGAAAAAUUGGGGACAUGUGAACAUUGGAAGCGUGGUGAGGAAAAAGGCAAGAGCUGUUUUCCAUAUUUCUCAGAGGGCUCACCGUGAGCACACUGUUACUUUACCAACACUUUCUUUUAAUUAAAACCGACGUGUUUUAGCGAAUGCAAUAAUUUAUUUGAUCUUGCAGUGCUCUCUCUCUCUCUCUCUCUCUCUCUCUUCUCUCUCUCUCUCUCUCUCUCUCUCUCUCUCGAACGAACGAACGAACGAACGGUAAAUAAAUAGUCGCCUACUAUGACAGGGUGAUUAAUGUGAAGAUAAGAGAGAGUUGACAAAAAGGUGAACCAAGAAUGGCCAGGGUCGGAGAAAAUAGAGGAGGGUAGGGGCCAGUUGCUAAAGAGUAUAAUUCGCAAAUGUUGUGAGGAAGGAAGUUCAUCAAAAGGUAAAGGAACAUCCAGGAUGCGAGAUAUCCUGUACAAAGUAGAUGCAGAAGAUACAGUGUGUGUGUGUGUGUGUGCGUGUGUGUGUGUGUGUGUGUGUGUGACUAUAGUAUAUAUGCAUGCACAUUGUGAUAGAGAAAAUUGUAUUAUAUUGUAGUAAUAUGCAUAUACAAUCUAGGAAAAAAAAUACGAAUGUUUAUUUACAUUGGUGAGAAGAAAGAAAAUGAUUCUUUCCUAGAACAACAGGAUUAUGUACAUUCAGGGGAAAAAAUGCGCUGCUCAUGUUUGCGUAACGAAAUCCAUAAAACUGAGGAAUAAAUGAAAGAAAUUAUUUGGACUUAAUUAGAGGUAGUGUCAGAAAUGUUUUAGAAUAUCGAGAGCUCUAAUUAAUGGCAAAGUCAUCCGGCCGUAAAUUGGACUACUUCAUUUAUGCCUUUGGAGCAACGACAUCAAAGAAAACCUGCCUCCUCGUUAAGUGAAGUUAUG
Macrobrachium nipponense is the source of this 4162-nucleotide long non-coding RNA. RefSeq lists it as uncharacterized. The transcript has 5 exons. NCBI's taxonomy places the organism in Eukaryota, Metazoa, Arthropoda, Malacostraca, Decapoda, Palaemonidae. The record is from RefSeq and is a predicted model, not a curated record.